RNAcentral lists this ribosomal RNA (549 nucleotides) under uncultured fungus. RNAcentral's name for it is "eukaryotic LSU rRNA". The stretch from base 174 to 327 matches the Rfam family "5.8S ribosomal RNA". The record is from RNAcentral. Lineage: Eukaryota; Fungi.
UCCGUAGGUGAACCUGCGGAAGGAUCAUUACCUAGAGUUUGUAGACUUCGGUCUGCUACCUCUUACCCAUGUCUUUUGAGUACCUUCGUUUCCUCGGCGGGUCCGCCCGCCGAUUGGACAACAUUCAAACCCUUUGCAGUUGCAAUCAGCGUCUGAAAAAACAUAAUAGUUACAACUUUCAACAACGGAUCUCUUGGUUCUGGCAUCGAUGAAGAACGCAGCGAAAUGCGAUAAGUAGUGUGAAUUGCAGAAUUCAGUGAAUCAUCAAAUCUUUGAACGCACAUUGCGCCCUUUGGUAUUCCAAAGGGCAUGCCUGUUCGAGCGUCAUUUGUACCCUCAAGCUUUGCUUGGUGUUGGGCGUCUUGUCUCUAGCUUUGCUGGAGACUCGCCUUAAAGUAAUUGGCAGCCGGCCUACUGGUUUCGGAGCGCAGCACAAGUCGCACUCUCUAUCAGCAAAGGUCUAGCAUCCAGUAAGCCUUUUUUUCAACUUUUGACCUCGGAUCAGGUAGGGAUACCCGCUGAACUUAAGCAUAUCAAUAAGCGGAGGAA